UACUUCACCUGACGCGGCCGUCCCCAACGCCGUGCCUUUCUCCGGCGCCGGCGCGCCACCAUGGGAACCGUGGAUGAGGGGGACGCGACGGAGGUGGCGGCGGCAAGCAGGUGGCCCGGUUCCUCCCGCCGGAACCACCUCCUCCAGUUCCUCCUCCACGCCUCCAAGCGGCUCGACCUCCGGCCCAUCGUCAAGUACUCCGCGCUCGAGUUCUUCGACGCGCGCUUCCUCCCCGCGCUCCCGAGGAAGAUGGGGUUCUGCGGCGCACGAAGCGGCCGAGCCGUCAGGUCCUGGCUGGUCGAGCCCCUCAGGGACAGCAAUCUGCAGCUCUUCGCCCUCGUCGCCGUGUGGAUCGCCAGUAAGAUCCAUGAGAUGAGACCACUGGCAGUGAAGAGCCUCAAGGCGCUCAGCGACCGCAUCAUCGUCGACCAGCAUUUCACAUGCCGCGAUUUCGCUGACGCCGAGCUGGUGUUCAUGGAGGUAUUGGAUUACAACAUUGGAUGCACAAACAUUGCUUUCAUACACUUGGAAGAGCUCCUCAUUCAGUUCAGGGAAAUAUCAAAGUUAGGUGAUCUUGUCAAUAUGGAUGUGUGCAUGGAAAUCUUGGAUAUUCUGUAUGAGACUGAAGAUACCUCAUGGCUUUUUAACUUUGCCUGUCCACUGGCUGCUUCGACUCUUGUUACUGCGUACGUUAUCUCAGUUCCUAAGCAGAAAUGGGAGUUUCCAAUAAUUCCCUGGGUCCAGUUCACUACUUCGUAUGCUGAAGAAGAGAUCUUGAAGAUUGUUAUGACAAUUCUCAUGCAUGUGAUCAAACCGGAUGAAAUCAAAGAGAAGAACAAGAGAGAUUUCAGUAUGUGAGGCUUGUGCAUCGGUGAUGUGUACAACACAACUGGCAGUGUCCAAAUUUUACCAAUUCCAGUUUACCACUUCAUAUGCUGAAGAAGAGAUCUCGAAGAUUGUUAUGACAAUUCUCAUGCAUGUGAUCAAACCAGAUGAAAGCAAAUAGAAGAACAAGAGAGAUUUCAGUAUGUGUACAACACAACUGGUAGUGUCCAAAUUUUACCAAUUGAUGCUUGCUAAUUAAUUCUGUACAAAGUGGCCGAAGUAUUGAUGCUGGAUCUCUCCUGAGUUAUCCCCUCAUGUCAAUGCGGCAGUGGCACUUGGCAUUUUAUUUUACCUGAGGGUUACGAUAACAUUGAAAUCUCGCCAUCUUUUUUUUAUGUACAAUUGUAAACUACAUAUGAAAAUAACGGAGUUGCAUCGUCAGAUACUGAUCAUAUGCUGAACUGAUGAAGUAGCAUAUUCGUAGAUUUUAUUCAGCAUAUGCAUAUAGAGAGGGCUCCGAGAGUUGAUGGGAUAUUCUCAUAAUAAGAUAUUCCUUGUUCAAAUUUUGUAGGCCAUGAUUUGGUUUUGUGUUUGCAGACAGAAUAAUCCAUAUUUUUUUAA
RNA transcript from Lolium perenne, 1446 nucleotides. It is a transcript of the gene named cyclin-J18-like, with no coding region annotated. The record is from RefSeq and is a predicted model, not a curated record. Lineage: Eukaryota; Viridiplantae; Streptophyta; Magnoliopsida; Poales; Poaceae.